CAGCAGGCGCGAAAACUUUACAAUGCCGGCAACGGCGAUAAGGGAACCUCGAGUGCCAGGUUACAAAUCUGGCUGUCGUGAUGCCUAAAAAGCAUUGCAUAGCAAGGGCCGGGCAAGACCGGUGCCAGCCGCCGCGGUAACACCGGCGGCUCGAGUGGUAACCGUUAUUAUUGGGUCUAAAGGGUCUGUAGCCGGCCGGGUAAGUCUCUUGGGAAAUCUGGCAGCUUAACUGUCAGGCUUUCAGGAGAUACUGCCUGGCUCGAGGCCGGGAGAGGUGAGAGGUACUUCAGGGGUAGGGGUGAAAUCUUGUAAUCCUUGAAGGACCACCAGUGGCGAAGGCGUCUCACCAGAACGGACCUGACGGCAAGGGACGAAAGCUAGGGGCACGAACCGGAUUAGAUACCCGGGUAGUCCUAGCCGUAAACGAUACUCGCUAGGUGUCGGCCACGGUGCGACCGUGGUCGGUGCCGUAGGGAAGCCGUGAAGCGAGCCACCUGGGAAGUACGGCCGCAAGGCUGAAACUUAAAGGAAUUGGCGGGGGAGCACAAGGGCGAAUGCG
RNAcentral lists this ribosomal RNA (559 nucleotides) under uncultured archaeon. RNAcentral describes it as "bacterial SSU rRNA". It matches the Rfam family "Archaeal small subunit ribosomal RNA", at positions 333 to 892 of the family's 1478-position model. The record is from RNAcentral.